RNAcentral lists this transfer RNA (2892 nucleotides) under Sus scrofa (pig). Its description in RNAcentral is "lncRNA (ENSSSCG00005010670.1)". Lineage: Eukaryota; Metazoa; Chordata; Mammalia; Artiodactyla; Suidae. The record is from RNAcentral.
GGCUGCACCUGCAGCACAUGGGUGUUCCCGGGCUAGGGAUCGAAUUGGAGCUAUAGCUUCCAGCCUACACCACAGCCACAGCAACGCCAGAUCUAAGCCGUGUCUGUGACCUACAUCACAGCUCAUAGCAACACUGGAUCCUCAACCCGCUGAGCGAGGCCAGGGAUUGAACCUGUGUCCUCAUGGAUACUAGUCAGAUUCCUUUCUGCUGAGCCACUACGGGAACUCCAAAAAAAAAAAAAUAUGUUAAGAUACAAAAUUUAAGUGAUUAUUUUCAGAGUUCCCUGGUAGUUCAGUGGGUUAAGGAUCCAGUGUUGUCACUGCUGUGGCUAGGAUGUGAUCCCUGGCCUGGGAACUUCUGCAUGCCUCGGGAGCAGGCGAAAAAUUAAAAUAAUAAAAUGACUAUACUCAAGUGAAAGAUCAUUUUGGAAAUGAUGUAAUGCCUAGCUAAUGGCAGAAAACUUUUGGUCUUAUAUUACACUUAAACAUGGAAACGCUAUAAAAUUUGGUUGUGAUGAUUGUUGUACACCUAUAAAUGUAAUAAAGUUCAUUAAGUAAUAAAAAACUGAGUCAGUACCCAAAUGCUUAGCUACCUUCAUUUCCUUUUGUGAAGAAGCCAUAGUAUGGGGGACAGAAUUCCAAAACAAGCAGAAUCCCAACAUUACAAUGGUGUAUCUUUAAAACAUGAACUCAGUACUUCCUUAUGUGUGAUAUUUCACUGCCUUUUCUCUAGCUAUUGUAAGUUUGUUACCCAAUGAACUAGGUUGAUUAUUCCAGAAUUUUUCCAAGCAAAAAGUUAAGCUGAUGAGUAUAUCCAUGGUCAUCAUCCAUCUCCCUUUUUGAAAGAAGGUUCUAAAUAUGCCCUUUUCCAGUCUUCAGGCACCUCAUCAGUCCUCCACGGGUUCUCAAAAAUGAUAUCUAGCGGUUCUGUGAUGACUUCGGCCAAUUCAUUAAGUACGCUAGGAUGCCAGCCAUUGGGACCUGUGGAUUUGAACAUAUCGGGGUUAUUUAAGUUCUCCUUUACCCAUUCUUCCCCUAGUCCAUCAUGGAUUCCUGCUCCAAAGUUUAAGUCACACUUUUCUCUUUCUGGUUACUGUCUGGAUUUUUGGAAACGAGCUUUAAAGUCUGUUUUUUAAUCCAUCAGUUUUCUCUUUGAGGCUAACAAAUGAAAAAUGUGUUUUGUUCUUCUCAAGCCUACGUCUUGUUUUUUAAAAAGGCCCCCUUGGAGUUCCCACUGGGGUGCAACAGGAUCAGCACCAUCUCUGCAGCACUGGGGCAUAAGUUUGAUCCCUGGCCCAACACAGUGGGUUAAGGAUCCAGCAUUGCCACAACUGCAGCUUAGGUCACAACCGCAGCUCAAAUCUGAUCCCUGGCCCAGGAACUUUGGUGGGGCAGCCAAAAAUUAAAAAAAAAAAAAAAAAAAAAAAAAAGCCUCCUUCUCUUUCCUUUCAUGUUUCUUAGAAGAAAAGGAAAGUUAAAAAAAAAGAAAGAAAAAGUGUAUCUUCUAAUACUUUGCCUUCCUAAGCCAUCUCCCUCAAUUCUACCCUUUGGCGGCCUUAACAUAUAGGAACAGUCAAUAUACUGUGAAGCAUUUCAAAGGCCACCUUGCUCAUGCUCAGAGGGAACACAUCUCUCUAGCUCGUGCAAGGGCUAAUUCAAAAGGCACCUUCCCAAGUUAAAAAAAAAAAAAAGACAAUCAUCUUUAAUCGCAAGCAUUUGUAUGCAUAAACAGUAACUUUUUCACAUAGGCAUUUAAAAAGCAUAGUUGUGCAUGAGUUGGAAAGAGAUGAAUAAGGCUUUCUCACCAAGCACGUAACCUAGUAGAAUUCCUCUGCUAUUGUGUGGUCAUCAGCACCAGUGUUCAGGGAUUGAUAUUACACUAACUAUCUCUAAGCUCUGAGCGGUGCUGACAGUUUUAACCCCUUCAUGGCCACUACGAUUCCUUUGAAAUUAAAAGACAGCAACAGUUUCCGGCCCAUCAGUCACAGUUAUGCCCUGGGCCAAGAAUCCCUUGACAGAUCAAGAAUGGACAAAGGAGAAGGAAAAAAGAGUGCAAAGGAAGAAUGAGGAUGCCUGGGUCUCUCCCACGAUUUUUGAUAUGACAGGCAGACUGUGCUGCUUGGAUUCAACCAUUUACUUAUUUUUUAACUGGAAAAGCUUUGGGAAAACAGCAAAUCAAUCUUGCUCUCUUUCGUUUUUGUAGUCUUAUAUGUGUUUCUCCCAGUUUUAUCUCUUGCAAAAAAAUAUCAUAUUGCAGGCACUAUGAAAAGACUUAAGAAAUAAUUCUGCGCUUUUCUCUAGGGUAUAAUAAUUUGUUUUAGCGUGUGUCAUUUUCACCCCUGCUCAAACAGCCACUUGCUGAUGGAAAUAUGUUAACUAAUAUGUCAUUAUUAAUUACUUUGGGUAAUAUCAUCUGGCAAUUGCAUCUAACUGGAUAUAAAGUAUUACUAUCCAUGCCCAGGAAGUUUCUUUCUCCAGACAAUGAAGCUAUUUGCAGGCCUUUUGUCCCCCUGUAAGACCAAGUAAUAAUAUCUUACUACUCACUAAUACACUCAAGUAGUCAGUCAUUCAAAUAAACCCAUACCCAAGCCACUGAAUGUCUCUAUGAAAAGCUAACUCAUGUUGUUAGAAGCUAUGAAAAAGUAAUUUUCAAUCUAUGUCGACAAACUAAGUUUUGAGUGUGUGUGGGGGGAUGUUACCUUAACAGGAAGAAGGUAAAACUGUUUCAUUUUUAAUGCUCUAAUAAAGGAAUGAAUGAAAAGGCACUGCAACAAAAAUUGUAUUGGCUACAUAGUGCAAGAGAACUUGCUAUUUCUUCCUGAAAAUCCAGAAAGAGCCUCAGCUUACAGCAUCAGGGUUGCUAAAAUCUUGGAAGACUACAGUCGGAUUUUG